GCUGCUCCUUUCCGCCCUUGCCUGGUCCGCCAGGUGCAAUUGGGGUCGCCCGGAUGGUAGGGGUAUGGAACGUUUUUCCCGGAAAUGCCACCACUAUGGAUCAGAUUUAUGAAUGAGUACCUUUUUUCAUUCUUGUACUACAGCCAUCUCUAGAGGUUACCUAUCAGUUGAGCUGAGAACGGGGAGUUGUUGCAGAUGGAGAUGGGAGGUUGCAAUUUAAAAAUGAUUUUUUUUUUUAGUGGGGCGGGGACAGGGUCUCCCUCUGUUACCCAGGCUGGAGUGCAGUGGUGCGAUCACGGCUCACUGCAGCGUCGACCAAUGGGGCUCAAGCAAUCCUCCCACCUCAGCCUCCUGAGUAGCUAGGAAUACAGUCGUGCGCCACCACGCCCGCCUAAUUUUUGGUAGAGAUGGGUUUCGCCCUGUUGUCCAGGCUGGUCUCGAACUCCUGGGAUCUAGCCAACCUCCCGCCUCAGCCUCCCAAGGUCCUGGGAUUACAGGCGUGAGCACCGUGCCUGGCCUGCAAAAUGAUCUUUUGCUGUUGUUAAUAUUAUUUCAGGCCGGGCGCCGUGGCUUACGCCUGUAAUCCCAGGACUUUGGGAGGCCGAGGUGGGCGGAUCACCUGAGGUCAGGAUUCGAGACCAGCUUGGCCAACAUGGUGAAACCCUGUCUCUACUAAAAAUACAAAAAUUAGCCGGGCGUGGUGGCGGGCGCCUGUAAUCCCAGCUACUUGGGAGGCCGAGGCAGGAGAAUUGCUUGAACCCGGAAGGCAGAGGUUGCAGUGAGCCGAGACCGCACCAUCGCACUCCAGCCUGGGCAACAACAGCAAAACUCCGUCUCAAAAAAUAAUAAUAUUAUUAUUACAGACAGCGCAGAAGGCUUGCAAUCAUGAUAAAGAUAUUCCCUAGGUCCUACGCUGAUGUCUUAUUCUAUUCUCUCCUUUGCUCACUCCGCCCCAGCCUCCCCACCCUCCUUGCUCUUCAUUCAAUGUGCCAGGCAUGCUACUUCCCCGGGACCUUGAUUGUCUUUCCCCAGAUGUCUGCCUAGUUUUUACCCUUACUUCCGUUUUCAGCUUGAAUGGCAUCCUAUUGACCACCACAAUUAAAAUAGCGAGCUCUGCCCAACCCUGCCGAAUCAUCUUAUCCUUCUUUAUUUUUCUUCCUAGCACUCAACAUUUACAUUGAUGUCACUGCCCUCUGUUUAGUGUUCCAUGAGGUCAGGGGCUUUGUUUUGUUUUCUGCUGUAAUCGCAUGUCCUUAGAGACUUGGCACAGAAUAAAUGACCAUUAAAUAUUGUCGAAUAGAUAAAUAUCUUUUUUUCCCCACCAUAAUGUUUGGCAAAGCUGAAAACGAAUGGAAACAUCCAGUACAGGUGUAUAUGUGGAAGAAUCAUACCACAACCUUUUUACAAGGCAAAGUGGUAAAACAUAUGAAAAUUUCAAAUGUUCAUAUUCUAUGACCCCCUCAAAUUCCAUGAUGUAUAAUAUAGAUAAUUGUUCAUUGCUGUAUUGCUUGCAAUAAUGAAACACUGGAAAUAAUCUAAAUGUGUAUAAUGUCUUCUAACUUUUAAAAUGCAGUAAACUGCUAUAUAGCCUUUAAAAAGAAUAUACCAACAUGGAAUGAAGACCAAAAUAUAUUGCAGUCGAUACGUACAGUUUUUUUCUGACCAGACUCCUCCCCCCACUGUCCUUUAUGAUCUCCCCAAGUUGACCCAGGCAGGCCACAGAAUGAAAUCUGGCUGACUCUAGGCCAACUGAAGCCUCUUCUUGGGAUUUAGAAUUCGACUAAGGUGCUAGUAUAGUCUGGUUACUCUACUUGAACUCUGAGGUCCUACAAAGCUGGAACUUUUUGGUGGCCAUGUUCUUUCAAAGUGAGGAGCCAGAAAGCCUGUCUUCACAGUGAGAAAAACAAAGUUGAUUGAGAAGAAAGAAAAGAUAGGAAAGGCCUAACAUUCAAGGCCUGUGUUAUGAUUUCUCUUCAGGACCAGUUUUAUUCCUGUCCUUGGUUUACAAAUACCACAUAUAUUUGUGGUAUUUGUAAUACCACAUAUAUUUGUGGUAUUUGUGGCUUACUUGAAAGGAUUGACCCUAAACUCUUAAAAUAAGUUACCUUUAGGGAUGAGAUAUGGGCAGGGAAAGGAGGAAAUGGGGAGUUUAAUUUUUACUUUAUAUACUUUUGUUUUUUUGAGACAGUCUCGCUCUGUUGCCCAGCCUGGAGUGCAGUGCCACAAUCUUGACUCACUGCAACCUCUGCUUCCCAGGUUCAAGCGAUUCUCCCAUCUCAGCCUCCAAGUAGCUGGGAUUACAGGCGCAUGCUACCACACCUGGCUAGUUUUUGUAUUUUUAGUAGAGAUGAGUUUUCACCAUGUUGGCCAGGCUGGUCUUGAACUCCUGACCUCAGGUGAUCCACCCACCUCACUUCCCAAAGUGCUGGGAUUACAGACGUGAGCCACUGCGCCCAGCCCACUUUAUAUACUUUUGACUGUGAAUUUUUUUCUG
Molecule: long non-coding RNA, 2494 nt
Filed under: Homo sapiens (human)
Lineage: Eukaryota; Metazoa; Chordata; Mammalia; Primates; Hominidae
Description: non-protein coding lnc-GPR180-10:2
Source: RNAcentral